This 604-nucleotide ribosomal RNA is filed under the name uncultured bacterium. RNAcentral describes it as "bacterial SSU rRNA". The stretch from base 1 to 524 matches the Rfam family "Bacterial small subunit ribosomal RNA", at positions 338 to 873 of the family's 1533-position model. The record is from RNAcentral.
CCUACGGGAGGCAGCAGUGGGGAAUAUUGCACAAUGGGCGCAAGCCUGAUGCAGCGACGCCGCGUGAGGGAUGACGGCCUUCGGGUUGUAAACCUCUUUCAGUAGGGAAGAAGCGUAAGUGACGGUACCUGCAGAAGAAGCGCCGGCUAACUACGUGCCAGCAGCCGCGGUAAUACGUAGGGCGCAAGCGUUAUCCGGAAUUAUUGGGCGUAAAGAGCUCGUAGGCGGUUUGUCGCGUCUGCUGUGAAAGACCGGGGCUCAACUCCGGUUCUGCAGUGGGUACGGGCAGACUAGAGUGCAGUAGGGGAGACUGGAAUUCCUGGUGUAGCGGUGAAAUGCGCAGAUAUCAGGAGGAACACCGAUGGCGAAGGCAGGUCUCUGGGCUGUAACUGACGCUGAGGAGCGAAAGCAUGGGGAGCGAACAGGAUUAGAUACCCUGGUAGUCCAUGCCGUAAACGUUGGGCACUAGGUGUGGGGGACAUUCCACGUUUUCCGCGCCGUAGCUAACGCAUUAAGUGCCCGCCUGGGGGAGGUACGGCCGCGAGACGUAAACGUAAAGUAAGUAGACGGCGNGAGACGUGCGACGACGACGACGAGGGAGAGG